GGGGCGUGGUGUCACAGCGGGGGGGCGUGAUGUCACAGCGGGGGGGCGUGAGGUCACAGCGGGGGGGCGUGGUGUCUGCGGACGUGUCGCAGCAGCAGCUGGCGGUCUGGACUCGAGUACUCGCACUGUUGGCACGGAAACGCCUCACCG
Long non-coding RNA from Scomber japonicus (chub mackerel), 150 nucleotides. RefSeq lists it as uncharacterized. Lineage: Eukaryota; Metazoa; Chordata; Actinopteri; Scombriformes; Scombridae. The record is from RefSeq and is a predicted model, not a curated record. The transcript is spliced from 3 exons.